GGUUAAGUGAAUAAGGGCGCACGGUGGAUGCCUUGGCACUAGGAGCCGAUGAAGGACGGGACUAACACCGAUAUGCUUCGGGGAGCUGUAAGUAAGCUUUGAUCCGGAGAUUUCCGAAUGGGGAAACCCAGCAUCUUUUAUAGGAUGUUACUUUUCAGUGAAUACAUAGCUGAUUAGAGGUAGACGCAGAGAACUGAAACAUCUAAGUACCUGCAGGAAGAGAAAGAAAAAUCGAUUCCCUGAGUAGCGGCGAGCGAAACGGGAAAAGCCCAAACCAAGAGGCUUGCCUCUUGGGGUUGUAGGACUCCGAUAUGGUAGUCCAGUGAGAUAGUCGAAGGACCUGGAAAGGUCUGCUAGAAAGGGUAAAAGCCCCGUAGACAAAAUUUGACUGGCACCUAGGAGGAUCCUGAGUACGGCGGAACACGAGGAAUUCCGUCGGAAUCCGGGAGGACCAUCUCCCAAGGCUAAAUACUCCCUAGUGACCGAUAGUGAACCAGUACCGUGAGGGAAAGGUGAAAAGCACCCCGGAAGGGGAGUGAAAUAGAUCCUGAAACCGUGUGCCUACAACAAGUUAGAGCCCGUUAAUGGGUGAUAGCGUGCCUUUUGUAGAAUGAACCGGCGAGUUACGAUUACUUGCGAGGUUAAGUUGAAAAGACGGAGCCGCAGCGAAAGCGAGUCUGAAUAGGGCGAAUGAGUAAGUGGUCGUAGACCCGAAACCAUGUGAUCUACCCAUGUCCAGGUUGAAGGUGCGGUAAAACGCACUGGAGGACCGAACCCACGUACGUUGAAAAGUGCGGGGAUGAGGUGUGGGUAGCGGAGAAAUUCCAAACGAACUUGGAGAUAGCUGGUUCUCUCCGAAAUAGCUUUAGGGCUAGCCUCAGAGUAAGAAUGAUGGAGGUAGAGCACUGUUUGGACUAGGGGCCCAUCUCGGGUUACCGAAUUCAGAUAAACUCCGAAUGCCAUCCAUUCAUCUCUGGGAGUCAGACUGUGAGUGAUAAGAUCCAUAGUCGAAAGGGAAACAGCCCAGACCACCAGCUAAGGUCCCCAAAUAACUAUUAAGUGGAAAAGGAUGUGGGGUUGCACAGACAACUAGGAUGUUGGCUUAGAAGCAGCCACCAUUUAAAGAGUGCGUAAUAGCUCACUAGUCGAGUGACCCUGCGCCGAAAAUGUACCGGGGCUAAAUAGUUUACCGAAGCUGUGGAACANNNNNNNNNNNNNNNNNNNNNNNNNNNNNNNNNNNNNNNNNNNNNNNNNNNNNNNNNNNNNNNNNNNNNNNNNNNNNNNNNNNNNNNNNNNNNNNNACAGUACCGAAGUUCCUGAUGUCACACUGCCGAGAAAAGCUUCUAGUGAGAAAACAAUGGCCCGUACCGCAAACCGACACAGGUAGUCGAGGAGAGAAUCCUAAGGUGAGCGAGAGAACUCUCGUUAAGGAACUCGGCAAAAUGACCCCGUAACUUCGGGAGAAGGGGUGCUGAUCUAACGAUCAGCCGCAGUGAAUAGGCCCAAGCGACUGUUUAUCAAAAACACAGGUCUCUGCAAAAUCGAAAGAUGACGUAUAGGGGCUGACGCCUGCCCGGUGCUGGAAGGUUAAGAGGAGUGCUUAGCGUAAGCGAAGGUACGAAUUGAAGCCCCAGUAAACGGCGGCCGUAACUAUAACGGUCCUAAGGUAGCGAAAUUCCUUGUCGGGUAAGUUCCGACCCGCACGAAAGGCGUAACGAUUUGGGCACUGUCUCAACGAGAGACUCGGUGAAAUUUUAGUACCUGUGAAGAUGCAGGUUACCCGCGACAGGACGGAAAGACCCCAUGGAGCUUUACUGCAGUUUGAUAUUGAGUGUUUGUACCACAUGUACAGGAUAGGUAGGAGCCGUAGAAGUCGGGACGCUAGUUUCGACAGAGGCGCUGGUGGGAUACUACCCUUGUGUUAUGACCACUCUAACCCGCACCACUAAUCGUGGUGGGAGACAGUGUCAGAUGGGCAGUUUGACUGGGGCGGUCGCCUCCUAAAGAGUAACGGAGGCGCCCAAAGGUUCCCUCAGAAUGGUUGGAAAUCAUUCGCAGAGUGUAAAGGCACAAGGGAGCUUGACUGCGAGACCUACAAGUCGAGCAGGGACGAAAGUCGGGCUUAGUGAUCCGGUGGUUCCGCAUGGAAGGGCCAUCGCUCAACGGAUAAAAGCUACCCUGGGGAUAACAGGCUUAUCUCCCCCAAGAGUCCACAUCGACGGGGAGGUUUGGCACCUCGAUGUCGGCUCGUCGCAUCCUGGGGCUGUAGUCGGUCCCAAGGGUUGGGCUGUUCGCCCAUUAAAGCGGCACGCGAGCUGGGUUCAGAACGUCGUGAGACAGUUCGGUCCCUAUCCGUCGCGGGCGUUGGAAAUUUGAGAGGAUCUGUCCUUAGUACGAGAGGACCGGGAUGGACUUACCGCUGGUGUACCAGUUGUCUCGCCAGAGGCAUCGCUGGGUAGCUAUGUAGGGAAGGGAUAAACGCUGAAAGCAUCUAAGUGUGAAGCCCACCUCAAGAUGAGAUUUCCCAUUUCUUUAAGAAAGUAAGAUCCCUGAGAGAAGAUCAGGUAGAUAGGUCAGGAGUGGAAGUGCAGUGAUGUACGGAGCGGACUGAUACUAAUCGAUCGAGGACUUAACCAA
Molecule: ribosomal RNA, 2637 nt
Filed under: Enterococcus avium
Lineage: Bacteria; Bacillati; Bacillota; Bacilli; Lactobacillales; Enterococcaceae
Description: 23S ribosomal RNA
Rfam family: Bacterial large subunit ribosomal RNA
Source: RNAcentral